AAGUCGUAACAAGGUUUCCGUAGGUGAACCUGCGGAAGGAUCAUUAUUGAAUUUAAUGUAGAGUUGGUUGUAGCUGGCCUAAUUAAUAAUUUGGGCAUGUGCACACCUCCUCUUUCAUCCACACACACCUGUGCACCUGUGAGACAGAGUGGGAAUUUUAAUUUAAUUUAAUUGGACCCUCUGUCUACUUAAUUCACACAAACUCUAUUUAUUAUAAAAUGAAUGUAAUUGAUGUAACGCAUCUAAUACUAAGUUUCAACAACGGAUCUCUUGGCUCUC
RNAcentral lists this unclassified non-coding RNA (279 nucleotides) under fungal sp. RNAcentral describes it as "partial internal transcribed spacer region". The stretch from base 1 to 46 matches the Rfam family "Eukaryotic small subunit ribosomal RNA", at positions 1786 to 1831 of the family's 1831-position model. The record is from RNAcentral. Lineage: Eukaryota; Fungi.